This 1670-nucleotide long non-coding RNA is filed under the name Cyanistes caeruleus (blue tit). RNAcentral's name for it is "lncRNA (ENSCCEG00000002678.1)". The record is from RNAcentral. Lineage: Eukaryota; Metazoa; Chordata; Aves; Passeriformes; Paridae.
GGGCCGUGUGUCCGUGUGUCCGUGUGUCCGUGUGUCCGGGUGUCCGUGUGGCCGUGUGUCCGGGUGUCCGUGUGUCCGUGUGUCCGGGUGUCCGUGUGUCCGGGUGUCCGUGUGUCCGGGUGUCCGGGUGUGCGGGCGGGGCCGGCGCCGUGGCGGGCAGGUGAGAGCCCCGCGGGCAGGGGAGGAGCAGCGGGAGGAGCGGCAGGAGGCGGUGUGCUCCUGCCUGCCGGGGAUGCGUGUGUGCCUGUGCGUGUCUGCGCGCCGCUCUCCUCGGCAUCGCUCGGGUCGCUCCUGGCGGUGCCUCCAGCCGCUCCCGGCGCCGGCGGGAAUCGCUUUUCCCGGCGCGGCCGCUUCUCGCUGAGUCCCGGGAAGAGCGUGAGUGAGCAGCGGCUGGGAGCGAUCACGGAAAGUAUGUGGAACUAAAAAGAAGAAAAUGGAAGGGAGGUGAAGGUCUUGUCAGCAAGCAGAACUAGUUUCAGAACUAGUUAGAGACUCAUGAGCAUCUUGGGGAGAAACAGAUGCUCCUGGGAGCUUGCCUCUUGGGGCACACCUGUGUUCCUGGGGACAGACAGACCCUGGCUUGAGCUGUGCAGGCUUUUGAGGUGACUGGACGCAGCCAGCUCUGCUCCCAGGCAGCACAGAGCUGCUGUAGGAGGGCACAGUGCCUGAACACUGUGCUGUGCCUCUCAGCAUAUUACACAGCUCUGUGGUUCGUGGAGUGGAAGUGUCUCCUGUGUGCUUCAUCCAGGUCUGGACAAAGGUAGCUUGAGUGGAGUGCAAUUGCCUCUGUGUCCUCAUGUCCUUAAUCAUCACGGCAGUUGUCCUCACUGCUCCGCCAGCUCUGCUUGUAUCCUCACUCCUCUCCUUGCUGAGCAUCUCCUCUCCUGUUAAAUUUAUCUCUCUUGUAUUACUCACUGUCUCUUUGCUGUCAUGAGCUGCAUGCAAAUGCCUGGCUUAUUGUUUGAGAUAAUGCAUUUCUGCUAUCGCAAUGAAAUAAGUGUAUUCCAUUUGUUUAUUAGCUAAUUAAACUAACCUCUAGAAAACGGUCAGAAUGUCUUCUGUUCUUCUGCAAUGAAGCUAAUUUAUCUUUAUAGUCCUGGCAGUAGGAAAAUUGUCUAUAUGCCCUGCAGAAAAGUUUGGGAUUCAUAUGUUUUUAACCCAAGUGUUUCAAAUUAAUAAUCUAAAAGUCAGAUUUGGAUAUUCAGAAAACUUUGGUGCCAAAUGAUCUGCAGCAAAAGAAACAUAUGGGAAGUGUAGGCAUAGUCUGAUCUUAUUUCUCAAGCUGGCAGAUAAAUUAUUUGACAAAACAGACAUUGCCUAGAAGUUAAAAAUUUAUUUUUUUUGUUCAGAAACAUGUCUCAAAGACUAUUUGUUCCCUUUCAGCUGAUCACUAGAUGGCACUCAGUGUGUUAGGCUGUUUUCAGAAUUUCAUAAAAAGUGCUGGUAGAGAAGAAGCCAUCACAGAAUUGUGGUGGAGGCUGGUGGACAUCACUGAGCUCAUCUGAUCCAGCCCCUGCUCAAGCGAAGUCAGGGAGACAAGAUUGCCCAUAGCUCAUCCAGUUGACUUUUGAAUAUCUUCAUUGAAGGAGACUCCACAGCCUCUCUGGGAAGCAUUUUGCAGUGUUUGACCACCUGCACAAUAAAAAAAAAAGACUUUAUGAUAAUUAUCA